CUGGAGUUGCAGUCCCGCGUGGCUGAGGGGCCGGGCCGCGGGGCCGCCGGGGAGUUACACCAGUGCGUGGCUGAGGCACGGAAGACAGAGAUGAUUCCGGGGUGGCUCCUUUGAACCGCUGCCUACUGGGCUUCAGCAGAGAGAAGAAUGCACUCACUUGAAGAAGAGACGCACGACAAAUGUUCUGAGACUGAGAAAUUCUCUCCUGCAUCCAGAUUUGAACUUGGGACCAUCUCAUGUGUCUCAGUGGUAUCCUCUGGAGAGUUGUGCAGUUCUGAAGUGGAAGAAAACAGCAGCAACAAAGUUAUUGAUACAUAGCAUAGUCUGGGUCUGUGUCAUUUUAAAACAUAUAUGGAGUAGAUAUUUUGUUUCUGCCAUUGUUACCACCCAUGGUAAUUCCUCACACAAAAUUAAAGAGAACUUAUUAAAAUUAUGUAUGUGGUGGGUAUCACUGGGAUUGGGUAUCUUCUAUAUAUUUUUAGAGAUGUAUACAGGAUAUUGGGAACUCAAAUAUGUUUAAAAUAUGAUAUACAUUCACUAGUGGUUAGAUAUUAUUACUAUUGCUAUUUUUAUUGGCUCAAUUUCCUGGUAAUAAAUUGUGCCAGUGAAAGCUGUGGAGUAUAAGUUUCAUGAGGAAUUGUGAAUGUUGACUCAUUUAUUUUGGUGAAUGUAGAGUCAUAUACAUGGAAGGGUUGAUGUGAAUAUGAAUAAAAGAUGGACCUGCAUGCAAAGAUACAAACUGUUAGAUGGUUCUCUAGGAACUGGGCAUGGCACAGCUAAGCAUUCAAAUGAAGACUUUACAGACUUGAUCCCAAUUCGUCUUUCAGAAAUGUGCUUCCACAUUUCUAUUGGAUCUUUAACCUUCUGAUAUAGGAGGUAGAAUGUGGCAAACUGACUAGAGAAGUGGGAGGGACCUGUAAAUCACAAGACUCCAGGGCAGUGCCAGAUGAUUCCUGGACCCCAUAUGUAGAACUUCCUAUGAGCUCCACAAGAUAUGGACAUCAUGAGGAAGACCAGAAACCGGGAGGAGCUCGCUAUCUUUACUCUUCACAGUAGCCCACCCUGGGUUUCCCAAACCCAGGGUGUAUUUUUAAUUUUUGCUCUUUUUACCUUUUCUUUUUUUUGGCUCAAGUUUGCUCUACAGAGCUAGUUUUUCCCUUACCCCUUCACCCUUCAUUUUUCAAAUAAAUUUUUGGGAGAUAGAAAAAUGAACAUGGUGAGUUUUGGAAACAGAACCUGGGCAGUUUUGGAGAAAAGGGGUCAUUUAUUCAGUUGUUGAACAAACAGGGUCUGCUCCACCUCUGUUCCACCUCAGACCUUUGAGAAUGAACUUGUCUGUAAAAUGGGAGCAGGGUAAUCAAGAGAUUAUACCUGAAAUAGCUGAUUCCAUUCUGCUUACCCUCUGCUAUUCUCCAAAGCCAUCUUGUCCAGCAUCCUCUCCCAGGAAUACUUACUGCGUCUUGAACAGUGAUGUCUUACUUGGGCAGGAACUGCUGCACUUCAGUCCUCUGUGUUUCUACAGGGAUCCUGCCCUCAAGGUGCCUGAUGCCCCUCGAACUUGGUACUGUUUCAUAUUGCUUGCCACCUUCUACAUAUUUCAUACUUUGUCUACAUCUUACUUCCUAGAGAUUCUUAAUCUCAAACAAAUGAUUUGGUAAAUUUUUGUGUUUGAAGAAAUUAAAUAUUCAUGAUCUUCUUAUGUUCCUGUUCCUGUUCAUAAGGCCCAACAAAGUAUAAUCAAUGAAUAAAUUUUUUCUCCAUGUAAUGGAAUAUAGGGAGUAAUGACAAUAUACACUGUAAUCAUAUGCCACAUGGAUAACAUUCAUAAAUAUAAGGAUGAGCAAAAAUGAUCCAGACAAAACGUAUAUAUUUUGCAUUUCUAUUUACACAAAUUUAUCUCCUGACUGGCUCCUGGCUUCUAAGGUCAUCUAGAAAUCAGAGUAAUUAUUACUAUUUGCAUGGUAGGGUCAAAAAGUGAAAGUCUUGAAUUCAUGUGCAUGUGAAAGAUUAUAAGAAAAUGAGAAAAAUAAGAAGCAAUGCAGAUGGGUUUGUGUAGGAACACAUGUGUGAAUAUUGGCUAGGACAAUAAGUGGAUGUGCUGUGUUCUUGGACUGGCUAUCUUUUUAAUGUGUUUUAAGUAAGAUCUUUUGAGGAUCCUAUUAUUCUGGGCUUCUUCUUUCCUGACAGUCUACCGUGCUUUUCCCUAGUUCCUACUGACAUACUGUUCCUAUGUGACUCUGAUCAUGCUCUUAUCCUCCCGGGCACUCUCCUACUAUUUCCUGAGCAGAGCCCAGUUCUCCAAUGAUCCUGGCCUUCCUGAAGUCCUCUCAUGUGUUUUCCCUUUGACAUUUAUUGCUGCCACUGCUGAUUAUUUUCAGUUUCUUUCUGGCUGAGAACCCUUGUAUCAACUGAUGUUCAGAACUAUUCAACUCAAUUCUGAGAUAUUCCUAGACCCUAGCUCCCCUUCUGUACUCCCCGCUUCCAUACCUGCAUCCAAGAAUUUGUCUUCAUAGGAGAAGUCCCCUGAGGUUGAGGAAGAACUAUCCACCACUUUGUGGCCUUGAGUAUGGGCCAGUACCUUGGCUCUAACCUGCAGAACAUCUUGUGAAUCCAACUUUCCUGAGAAAUGAAAUAAAAACGAUACAGUUCUAGUUUGGUGUUUAUGUGUAUCUAUUGUAAAACAUAUAAUGAGUCUACUAUUUACAUGUUCACUGAAUACACUUUACCUCCAUCCUCAAGGGUAAACAAUACGGCUCCUAUUGGUAAAAUUUUAAAUGUAGAGCAGUAUUUAUUUUGUCAGUACUUGUUACAGAUCAUUACAUUUGCACAAAGUUUCAUUGGUGCAGAAACUGCUUGCUUCAACCUUUCAAGUUGGACAGACCACUGUAUUCUAGUUAUUGAGCUACCUUGUAGUUAGCUUUGAUCUUGUGAUUGUAUUUCCUACCAAAGAAAAUGAAAAGUGACAAAUCCUAUUUCUGUGGCCAUAGAAGCCUCUGUCUCUCUCCAUGUACUCUGCUUUUCCAGUCGACUAGGAUGUUGAUAGCCCUGGGUCUCUGUGAAAGAUGUGUUAAUGAUGACGGUAUUUUUCUCAGCCCAUGAAUUAGUCCAUUGAGGGCAAUUGUCCUGUUGACCUGCUCAUCAACAUGCUAGCAGUUGAUUCUAUGUGUAGUAGUUAUUAGAGCUUGGAAUCUUCUAGUGAAGUCAGGUUGUAAGGUGUUUUUGAGAGGCAAAUAAUCAGACUUGGUAUACAGUAAGUGGACAAUUAUGUUAGAUGAUAGUAUUUAUCAUGCUUUGGUUUAUUUUUGUAUUUUGUGUGUGUAUGAGUAAGUAUGGGUAUGUGCUUUGCAUAUUUCAUGGCUUACACUUGACAUGUUUGAAUAUAUACUGAUGUAACUGAAAGUGAAAUAAAGACAAGAACACUCUUCAGGCCCCUCUGUACAAAGGACCAACAGAAAAUAAAGAAAUCUGAAAAUCUAUUGAAGUAUCAGACUGUUCUCAAAAAUGUGAGCCACUCUUUGGAAUGUUGGGUGUGGCUCCAAUCUGUCCCCUCCCACCACUGAAUGAGGGUCCUCCCUCAUAAUAGGUAUUUGUUUACUGUUAAUCUCCAAGGUAACACAACUGUUAGUUUCUAAUUUUUCCAUAAAUAGCCAAAUAUUAUCUCGUAUUUCAUAAUUCAUGGUUAAACGGUACAUGCAUGUUUAUGUGUGUGCAUGUGUAUUUCUUACAUUUCACAAAGAAGUCCUGGAAGAAUGGCUAUUAUUAAGGAAUGAACCAACAACAAAUGUUGGUAGGGCUGUGGGGAAAAAGGAACCCUUUUCCUCUGUUAGUGGGCAUGUAGACUGGCAACCACUGUGGAAAUCGGUGUGGAGAUUCCUCAAACAACUAGGAUUAGAAAAAUAAAACAAAACUAGGAUUAGAGGUCUCAUUUGACCCAGCUAUUCCCUUUCUGGGUAUCUUUGCAAAAGAACUAAAAGCAUCAUACCACAGCCAUAUAUAUGUGCACCUAUGUUUGUGGCGCUAUAGUUUGUAAUACCUAAAUUUUGGAAACAACCAAAAUGCCCAUCAACUGAUGAAUGAAUAAAAAAGAUGGGGCAUUUUUAUAUAAUGGGAUACUACUCAGCCAUAAAGCAGGUUAAACUCAAAACAUUUCUAGGUAAAUGGAUGCACCUUGAGAGCAUACUCUUAAGUGAAAUGGACACAAAGGUAUAAAUAUCACAUUGUCUCUCUAGUGUGAGAAACUGAAAGUGUAAAUAAGGACCAAAAUGUAUUAUAAAUAUUGUGAAAUAGGAAGAAAUUGCACAAAAGAGAAACUAGUGAGGUGGAAGGAGGAAAGGAAGAAAGGGAAAAGAAAAAAUACGAGAAAAGAAAGAUAAAAUGGUAAUAAAGCUUUGUAAGUAAGGAGGGGAAGAAGGGUUGAAGGCAGGGGAGGGGAAUGGGGAAAAAAAUCAAGAUAUAUUAUGUACAGGUACAAAUGUCCUAUGAUGAAUAUGAUCAUUAUGUAUACCUACACUAUACCAGUAAAAUUAAUUUUAAAGUUCUGGAGACAUAUCUUCAUAGUCUGAAACAAAACUAGCUUUUUACUCCUGAGUAAAUAAUUAUUUGUGACUUUAUAGUCAUUUUUGCACACCAUUUCAACUUAUUUUAAAAACUGUUUUCUUCAGUUCUAUGAACCAGUUUCUUCAUCAAAAGGGAAAAAGUACUACGAAAACUUAAAUUUCAUUUACUCUCCCAGUGCCCUUAGGAAGAAGUCAAAUGGCAGAAAACGCAUUUUUUAAAGAAAAAAAAUAGUCUGGAUGAAGGAUGAGAGUGACCCAGAGUGAUUGAAUCGGCAGCCCCAAGCCUAAGGCACAGUGACAAGACCUGGAUCAUCUAACCUUCUCUUUACUCUCAGACUACAUGAGCCUUUGUGAAGGCAUACAUAUCUCCCUCCUUCCCUGUUUUGGUCACUUCUUUUCUUCAUCUUUCUCUCCUCUGCUCCUCCACCACAAAUUAGAAGUCCACUCUUUUCCCUGUUUUUAGAAGGCAAUUCCUGGUUCCCUAUUCCUCGAGAAUAUGCUAAUACAUACCUCUUGUAAUCCUUGACGUUUUCACAGGUCGUUUUAAGGGUUUCUUCUUCUGGUGUUUUUUCUUCUCUUUAAGUUUCAUGGUUCAACUCUUUGCAGAAUUGCUGAUAUCAGCAGGCAGAACGUUUUUACAGAUGGAUGUAAUUUAUUUCUGAGCAGAAUGGAGUCUCUGAAGGACAGAUAAUGUCUUACAGAUAUCAAGCCUUGGGAUUCUGGGAAUAAGAUCAUGAAGUCAGUUACAUAAGUCGUCUGUUGUAGGUACCUGUGAUUUCUACAUCUGUAGCCUCGCAGCAUGAUGCAAUUGUCCUUUGAAAGCCACCGACCAACAGAAAGACGCUAGACCGUGCUGCAGUUUCCUAAUACACAGGGUCUCUGCUGCUGCUGGGCAGAUGCCCAGGAAGGCUCUGCAGAAGAUUCUGAAAGUUUCCACACAGAGCCCUGGCUCUCAGCUGAGAACGCUCCACCCAGUCAGGAAAGGUCACAGUAUGUGGGACAGUCUGCAUGGGUGUCCCUGGAUGUGUUGGGCAAUUGGGCUGUUUUCACAGCAUUACAGAGACUCCACCACCCACCACAUCUUGGCUCUUGCGGCUGCGGCUGCGCUGAGGAGAGACACUGCUGCCUCUCAGUGACCACACCCUUUCCCAGGCUGGCCCACAGGAAAUCAGCAGGGAGGGAGGAGGCUUUGUGGGAACCACACCAUCUAUUGAGAUGGACAAAGAUCUCCUCCACCAAGAAACUCUUUUAGAACCUGCUUUCCUCCUUCCUGCCAGCCCUCCCCACUGAGUGGCCAGUGUGGGAGAUGUUUACACUCAUGUCUUCACACUAAAGGAGGCUGGGGUGUAGGAUUCACCUUGCUUACCACCC
Long non-coding RNA from Heterocephalus glaber (naked mole-rat), 5927 nucleotides. Lineage: Eukaryota; Metazoa; Chordata; Mammalia; Rodentia; Bathyergidae. The record is from Ensembl.